AGAGUUUGAUCAUGGCUCAGGACGAACGCUGGCGGCGUGCUUAACACAUGCAAGUCGAGCGGUAAGGCUCCUUCGGGAGUACACGAGCGGCGAACGGGUGAGUAACACGUGAGCAAUCUGCCCUUCACAUCGGGAUAACUUCGGGAAACCGAAGCUAAUACCGGAUACGACCAUCGAUGGCAUCAUCUGAUGGUGGAAAGUUCCGGCGGUGGAGGAUGAGCUCGCGGCCUAUCAGCUUGUUGGUGGGGUAAUGGCCUACCAAGGCGACGACGGGUAGCCGGCCUGAGAGGGUGACCGGCCACACUGGGACUGAGACACGGCCCAGACUCCUACGGGAGGCAGCAGUGGGGAAUAUUGGACAAUGGGCGAAAGCCUGAUCCAGCAACGCCGCGUGAGGGAUGACGGCCUUCGGGUUGUAAACCUCUUUCAGCAGGGACGAAGCGAAAGUGACGGUACCUGCAGAAGAAGCACCGGCCAACUACGUGCCAGCAGCCGCGGUAAUACGUAGGGUGCAAGCGUUGUCCGGAAUUAUUGGGCGUAAAGGGCUCGUAGGCGGUCCAUCACGUCGGGAGUGAAAAGCUGGGGCUUAACCCCAGUCCUGCUUCCGAUACGGGUGGACUAGAGGUAGGCAGGGGAGAACGGAAUUCCUGGUGUAGCGGUGAAAUGCGCAGAUAUCAGGAGGAACACCGGUGGCGAAGGCGGUUCUCUGGGCCUUACCUGACGCUGAGGAGCGAAAGCGUGGGGAGCAAACAGGAUUAGAUACCCCGGUAGUCC
Molecule: ribosomal RNA, 774 nt
Filed under: uncultured Marmoricola sp.
Lineage: Bacteria; Bacillati; Actinomycetota; Actinomycetes; Propionibacteriales; Nocardioidaceae
Description: bacterial SSU rRNA
Rfam family: Bacterial small subunit ribosomal RNA
Source: RNAcentral